Molecule: non-coding RNA, 586 nt
Organism: Bactrocera oleae (olive fruit fly)
Lineage: Eukaryota; Metazoa; Arthropoda; Insecta; Diptera; Tephritidae
Source: RefSeq, a predicted model, not a curated record
GGCUCAUACUAUAUGCACAGUUGCUCGCUGUCAGUGGAUUGAUUGUUUGGUCACUAUCAACUACUCAUUGUAUGGACUUGCCGGCCGACCCAAAGAUCAACUAACCUGAAUGUGUGACCGACAUACAUAUGUAUCUCAGGUGAUCAGAACCAGCUUUCAAAAGCUUUCAAUAGGAAAACUGGAAAAACUGUACCCGAAGUCGCCUAUUGAACUGAAUCAGUUUUCAUGGAGACCUGAAAAAUUAAAAAGAAUAUUUUAUAAUCAAAAAUAAUCGAUAAGUGUAGCAUACCAAAUUACCCUUAUGAUGCUGUUAUGCGCUUUUUAUACUUACAAAGAACUUUUAUUGCGUUACGAGUUUAAAAUAAGUUCCCCCAUACUAAUAAUUUCACACUAAUUCUGUCGCAUACAAAUCAAGUCAAAGAAAUUGCAUUUCCUGAAGUUAAUCGCUCCUUUCUUGUGUCUUAUACUACUGAUGCCAUACAAUAUGGUAGAAGCAAAUCCUAAUCCUCUAGGAGUCAAGGGUGUCAACACCCCGUUUAAAGAGUGAUGAAGAAAUAAAAAAACUAAUAAUUUUUGCGCAGCAGAA